UACGGAGGGGGCGAGCGUUAUUCGGAAUUAUUGGGCGUAAAGGGCGCGUAGGCGGCUUGCUGUGUCAAAGGUGAAAUCCCUCGGCUCAACUGAGGAACUGCCUUUGAAACUGUCUGGCUUGAGGCCGGGAGAGGGUAGCGGAAUUCCCAGUGUAGCGGUGAAAUGCGUAGAUACUGGGAGGAACGCCGGUGGCGAAGGCGGCUAGCUGGACUGGAACUGACGCUGAGGCGCGAAAGCGUGGGUAGCAAACAGG
RNAcentral lists this ribosomal RNA (253 nucleotides) under uncultured bacterium. RNAcentral's name for it is "partial 16S ribosomal RNA". It matches the Rfam family "Bacterial small subunit ribosomal RNA", at positions 524 to 776 of the family's 1533-position model. The record is from RNAcentral.